GAUGAACGCUGGCGGCGUGCCUAAUACAUGCAAGUCGAGCGAACAGACGAGGAGCUUGCUCCUCUGACGUUAGCGGCGGACGGGUGAGUAACACGUGGAUAACCUACCUAUAAGACUGGGAUAACUUCGGGAAACCGGAGCUAAUACCGGAUAAUAUAUUGAACCGCAUGGUUCAAUAGUGGAAGACGGUUUUGCUGUCACUUAUAGAUGGAUCCGCGCCGCAUUAGCUAGUUGGUAAGGUAACGGCUUACCAAGGCAACGAUGCGUAGCCGACCUGAGAGGGUGAUCGGCCACACUGGAACUGAGACACGGUCCAGACUCCUACGGGAGGCAGCAGUAGGGAAUCUUCCGCAAUGGGCGAAAGCCUGACGGAGCAACGCCGCGUGAGUGAUGAAGGUCUUCGGAUCGUAAAACUCUGUUAUUAGGGAAGAACAAAUGUGUAAGUAACUAUGCACGUCUUGACGGUACCUAAUCAGAAAGUCACGGCUAACUACGUG
RNAcentral lists this ribosomal RNA (497 nucleotides) under uncultured bacterium. RNAcentral describes it as "partial 16S ribosomal RNA". It matches the Rfam family "Bacterial small subunit ribosomal RNA", at positions 28 to 507 of the family's 1533-position model. The record is from RNAcentral.